AAGCGGGGACGACCCCGCCGCUCCAAUCGCCCGGGGACGGCCCCA
This 45-nucleotide non-coding RNA is filed under the name Lysobacter sp. RNAcentral describes it as "Guanidine-II sequence". It matches the Rfam family "Guanidine-II riboswitch aptamer (mini-ykkC)". Rfam says of the family: Simpler in structure and has fewer highly conserved nucleotide positions than the ykkC-yxkD leader. Despite this each of its two stem-loop structures directly bind free guanidine. RNAcentral also lists the same sequence under 1 other name. Lineage: Bacteria; Pseudomonadati; Pseudomonadota; Gammaproteobacteria; Lysobacterales; Lysobacteraceae. The record is from RNAcentral.